CAAGCAUCCUGAGUGUGGGAUAUAAGGUUCAGCAAUCCUAGUAAGCCUGGAGAAAAGUGUGAGGUGGAGGGGUUAGUCAAACCUAACCAUGAUGCCCUCAGUAUUCAUGGAGCUAAUUGGUGGACGCACACCUGCACGCACGCCUCACUCGCAGCAUCACGAGGCAACACCCAAGCUCAGACAGAUACAAACGCACAGUUGUCGCGACCAGUUCACCUUUGACGUGGCGCGCGAGGUGGUGUGAGGCAAGGCGUCUUCACGGGUAGUACCUGCAGGGGAAGACACAGGAAGAAGAGUAAGGUGGAUGGAAACACUAUGGUGGUCGUGGGGCGUGCUGCUCGUGGCGGGGUGUGUGGGAGGGACCACCACCACCACCACCAGUCGCCCCCCGAGCUCCGUGACACAGCCCAGCGGGGACUUCGAGUGGGAGGAGGAGGCUGACGACAACACUACCUUCAGGGAGACCAGGACGGACGAGGAUGGUUCUCAGAGGCACCCACCAGUAAACCUCAUGAGUCUGUUCGGCGUGGAAGAAAACGAUGUACCGAGAAGGCAGUCUGACGACCGGUGGGAGCCCCUCGCCACACGCCUCCUCCUGCAGACGGUCCAGGCGGACAGUAUCUUGCAGCUCAUCCUUGCCUCCCACGACUCACCGCCGAGACAAUCCUACUACAUUGAUCAUACCAGGAAGCUGAGAAAUGUCACUGAUGACAACUUUCCCUCUGACACGUUCCUGAGCGUGGCGGUGCUGGUGGUGGCGCCUCCCUGCACCAUUCACAACAACAUUGGGCAGAUCACCGCUAUGCUCUUCGUGUUGCCUGACAGACGGCCCCCGAAGAUCACAGUCGAUCAGACGGUUGAUGUGGUGUGUCCGUGCCAAUCACUUUCCUGCUGCGAUGAGAGGGCGUCCCCGCAGACCAAGUUCCAGGCAAGAUACAGGGAACACGGGACACAUCAACAAACACUGAUACACCGAACAAUACCAGGGAAUGCUCAAGACAUGUAGCCUUGGAAUUUCAAUGAUCUGGGAGACGAGAAAAGAAGGCCGGAAGGAAAAUCAAUAUAUUGUUUUAUGUCUAGCUAAUUCAUUGACCAAUUAACUGAGUAACUAUCCAAUUAAAUAACUGACCAUCUAACUAACUAAUGGAUGAACUAAUUUACUAGCUACCAUCCCUUUCUCAGUUGUCAACUGUCCGUAACAAAUUAUAAUUUUUUACUCACUAACGUAUUACAACUAAUUCAUUAAC
This is a long non-coding RNA of Scylla paramamosain (green mud crab), 1247 nucleotides long. RefSeq lists it as uncharacterized. The transcript has 7 exons. Lineage: Eukaryota; Metazoa; Arthropoda; Malacostraca; Decapoda; Portunidae. The record is from RefSeq and is a predicted model, not a curated record.